CGGAGGAAAAGAAACUAACCAGGAUUCCCCUAGUAACGGCGGAGUGAAGCGGGAAAAGCUCAAAUUUGUAAUCUGAUACCUUCGGUAUCCGAGUUGUAAUCUCGAGAAGUAUUUUCCGCGCUGGACCGCACAUAAGUCUGUUGGAACACAGCGUCAUAGUGGUGAGAACCCCGUAUAUGGUGCGGAUGCCCAGUGCUUUGUGAUAUACUUUCGAAGAGUCGAGUUGUUUGGGAAUGCAGCUCAAAUUGGGUGGUAAAUUCCAUCUAAAGCUAAAUAUUGGCGAGAGACCGAUAGCGAACAAGUACCGUGAGGGAAAGAUGAAAAGCACUUUGGAAAGAGAGUUAACAGUACGUGAAAUUGUUGGAAGGGAAACGCUUGAAGUCAGACUUGCAUUUUGGAGUUCAACCGUUAAGGUGUAUUCUUCAAUUCGCAGGCCAGCAUCAGUUUUCGGGGGUGGAAAAUCGUGGUUAGAAGGUAGCAGUUUCGGCUGUGUUAUAGCUUUGCACUGGAUUCACUUUUGGGGACUGAGGAACGCAGUACGCUUUUUGCAAAACUUUCGAGUUUUUCGUACUUAGGAUGCUGGUGGAAUGGCUUUAAACGACCCGUCUUGAA
This 612-nucleotide ribosomal RNA is filed under the name Sphacelotheca polygoni-persicariae. RNAcentral describes it as "partial large subunit ribosomal RNA". It matches the Rfam family "Eukaryotic large subunit ribosomal RNA", at positions 51 to 658 of the family's 3401-position model. The record is from RNAcentral. Lineage: Eukaryota; Fungi; Basidiomycota; Microbotryomycetes; Microbotryales; Microbotryaceae.